Molecule: ribosomal RNA, 429 nt
Filed under: Bacteroidota bacterium
Lineage: Bacteria; Pseudomonadati; Bacteroidota
Description: Bacteroidetes bacterium partial 16S ribosomal RNA
Rfam family: Bacterial small subunit ribosomal RNA
Source: RNAcentral
UAGGGAAUCUUCCGCAAUGGACGCAAGUCUGACGGAGCAACGCCGCGUGAGUGAAGAAGGAUUUCGGUUCGUAAAACUCUGUUGUUAGAGAAGAACAGCGCAUAGAGUAACUGUUAUGCGUGUGACGGUAUCUAACCAGAAAGCCACGGCUAACUACGUGCCAGCAGCCGCGGUAAUACGUAGGUGGCAAGCGUUGUCCGGAUUUAUUGGGCGUAAAGCGAGCGCAGGCGGUCAAUUAAGUCUGAUGUGAAAGCCCCCGGCUCAACCGGGGAGGGUCAUUGGAAACUGGUUGACUUGAGUGCAGAGGAGGAGAGUGGAAUUCCAUGUGAAGCGGUGAACUGCGUAGAUAUAUGGAGGAACACCGGUGGCGAAGGCGACUCUCUGGUCUGUAACUGACGCUGAGGCUCGAAAGCGUGGGUAGCAAACAGG